Long non-coding RNA from Epinephelus fuscoguttatus (brown-marbled grouper), 736 nucleotides. RefSeq lists it as uncharacterized. The record is from RefSeq and is a predicted model, not a curated record. The transcript is spliced from 5 exons. Lineage: Eukaryota; Metazoa; Chordata; Actinopteri; Perciformes; Serranidae.
GAAGAAGAAGAACUGCCCAAUGACAACUCUGCGCGCCUUAAUUUGAAAAUACAUCAGUUUGAAUGACUGCUGCGGGACAUCGGCGCGACUGCCCAUCGAAUAACGUUACCUAGAUUAAUAACUGGCUUAUUUUACACCUGCUUGCUUAUUUAGUGAGUCGUGGCUUGUCAUUUUUAACGGAGAACAAAAAAAAAACUGGAAUAUGGAGACAACGGAAGGGUCCGGCGGGAUCUGUUUCGUCUUCUAACUACAUGAACUUCACCUUAUUACUAUUAUUCUGGCGACAUCAGUAAAGGGCCCCUUGCAGUGCAUCACCUGUGAGAUCACAAGAAGGCUGAAGAACCAGGACUGACAAGAUAUCACUGAAUGAAAUUUUGGGAAUGAAAAAGCUCCUGCCACAAGAUCUUCAGAGCCAGACAAGCAUUGGAGCAGGGUUUACGGGGGAGAACAGGCACCCUAGACCAUCAUUGAUGCACAAAAGAUCCAACUGAUUGCUGCCAAUUUGGAGGAGGAUUCCUCGUUAUCUGCCAUAUUGCACUGUCACUUCUGGUACAGAUUCAUUGACCUUUUGUGUUAUGUUUUGUUUUUACUUAAUGCACUGUAUAGGUAGGAUUCUAAAUUAAAAUAUGCUUGUCCACAAAUAUUACCAAAACUACAGUUUACAGAACCCCCAAGGGUCAGGAGAAUAUUGUAGAAAAUAAUAGAAAAUUGAACAGGAAAAAACAAGCUAAAAACA